Molecule: long non-coding RNA, 240 nt
Filed under: Elaeis guineensis (African oil palm)
Lineage: Eukaryota; Viridiplantae; Streptophyta; Magnoliopsida; Arecales; Arecaceae
Description: long non-coding RNA (EGUI_LNC035786)
Source: RNAcentral
GCAUAAGAUAUACUCCCAUCCUUCCUUUUCUAUCAAAUAAGUUACCAGUGUCAUCGUUCGCUGAUCUUUAAGUUUUAAAAUAUCUUAGAUGAUUUUGGAUGGGGUUGAAAAGACUAAAAUAUCUAAAAUUAGCUAAUUUAACCCCAAUCUUUUUAAAAUUAAUCAAAUAUUUUUAAUCUUGCUUCAAACUAGUUAAAAAAUUUUAAAAUUUAAAUAGAUUAGAAAAUAAUAAUGUCGGCA